Long non-coding RNA from Oreochromis niloticus (Nile tilapia), 1288 nucleotides. RefSeq lists it as uncharacterized. NCBI's taxonomy places the organism in Eukaryota, Metazoa, Chordata, Actinopteri, Cichliformes, Cichlidae. The record is from RefSeq and is a predicted model, not a curated record. The transcript has 4 exons.
UUUGCAAAGUAAAUUUGUUGGAACAACUGUCUUGGAACAACUCUUGGAAAAACAAAAUUUCUUCUGGGAUUACUCCUUCACAUCGAAAGAAACCAUUUGAGGUGUUAUAAAGGCUCACCUUUCAGCACAUUCACUUCACCAGAUGCACCUUGUUUCUUUUCCCCACCUUUGAUUGGGUGUGGUGCUUGCCCUUAAUUGCACUCACCUGUCACUCGUUAUAUAAGGACUGCACUCACCUACAGCUCACUCUUUCUUCACUCCCACAUGGGGUGGCAGCUGAGGUGAGUUUCUGUUUGAGUCUCCUGAGUUCAUGUAUUAUUUUGAGUUACUUAAAUCAUAUUUUAUUUCCUUUCAGAGAUAGCAGUCCAUGUGUGUCUUUCCUUUACCCAUUAUUCAAUAAAACGACAAAACCUGCAGAUGAUUGAUGACUGCUUAUUCUCAUUCUAAUCGGAUGAGCCCAUGAUGAUGCCUACUUAAACCCUGAGCCUUCCUUCCUCCAAAACAAGGUGGUUCGGGCAUCUGCCAGAGAAUGGGCCAUGCCUGCCCAGGGAGAAAGGCCCUAGGGCAGACGUAAGACACACUGAAGAAAUUAUAUCUCCCAGCUGGAUGGAUGGAUGCUAGGAGGUAAACUUAGAAGCUAUAAAGUGCAGCAGGUGGAGAAAACCAAUGAAAGAGCGAAUGUCAAGGCAUCCUCAGAAAGAUGUGCCUUCUCAUCCCUCUGCUGCUUUUCUUUCUGUGGGGAUCUGUUAAACUUGAAACUUUACUCUGGGUCUUACAUGACAAUUGGACAAAAGCACAGACCUUCUGCAGGAAGUACCACACAGACCUGGUCACAAUCAGAAAUGAACAAGAGAACACAUUUUUCAGUUCUGGAAGCUGGAUCGGAUUAUAUCGAGCUAAUACAAGUACAUGGAAAUGGUCCUGAGGAGACGAGAUAGCUAGCUUCACCAAGUGGGAUAGUUAUAGGGCAAGUCAGAAUGGAGACUGUGUAUAUAAGUAUAAUGGCUUAUGGUUUACUCACGGUUGUCAUUCCAAUCAUUCUUUCAUGUGCUAUGAUGAGAAACUGGUUUUAGUGAAGGAGAAUAAGACCUGGGAGGAGGCAUUAGACCACUGCAGGUCUCUGGGUGCAGUGGACACAAAUGAUCCCAACUCUCCCUACAGGAACCAUCACUAUGACCUGGCCACACUGAUCACUACUGGUGACCACACCUAUGCACGGGAGAGAUCACAACAAGCUACCACUGAUGAGGUGUGGACAGGCCUGUAUAACCUGGCUGGUGAGUGGCUG